RNAcentral lists this ribosomal RNA (252 nucleotides) under uncultured bacterium. RNAcentral describes it as "partial 16S ribosomal RNA". It matches the Rfam family "Bacterial small subunit ribosomal RNA", at positions 524 to 776 of the family's 1533-position model. The record is from RNAcentral.
UACGGAGGAUGCGAGCGUUAUCCGGAUUUAUUGGGUUUAAAGGGUGCGUAGGCGGACUGUCAAGUCAGCGGUAAAAUUGAGAGGCUCAACCUCUUCCCGCCGUUGAAACUGGUGGUCUUGAGUGGAUGAGAAGUACGCGGAAUGCGUGGUGUAGCGGUGAAAUGCAUAGAUAUCACGCAGAACUCCGAUUGCGUAGGCAGCGUACCGGCAUCCAACUGACGCUGAGGCACGAAAGCGUGGGGAUCAAACAGG